CAGUCAUACGGGAUCCAGCAAUGGGUCUAGUGGCGAACGGGUGAGUAUCGCGUGGGAAACCUGCCCUUGAGACGGGGAUAACACCUCCAACGGGGUGCUAAUACCGGAUAAGACCACGAAGUCGCAUGGUUUCGCGGUCAAAGGUGGCCUCUACUUGUAAGCUACCACUUAAGGAUGGUCCCGCGUCCCAUUAGCUAGUUGGUAGGGUAAUGGCCUACCAAGGCUACGAUGGGUAGCUGGUCUGAGAGGAUGGUCAGCCACACUGGGACUGAGAUACGGCCCAGACUCCUACGGGAGGCAGCAGUCGAGAGGCUUCGGCAAUGGGGGAAACCCUGACCGAGCGACGCCGCGUGGGCGAUGAAGGCCGUUAGGUUGUAAAGCCCUGUCGAGCGGGAAAAAUUGCAGACGGGUGAACAAUCCGUCUGUUUGGUGGUACCGUUAAAGGAAGCUCCGGCCAACUCCGUGCCAGCAGCCGCGGUAAUACGGGGGGAGCGAACGUUGUUCGGAAUUACUGGGCGUAAAGGGCGUGCAGGCGGUCCUGUAAGAGAGUUGUGAAAUGCCCUGGCUCAACCAGGGAAAUGCACCUCUGACUGCAGGACUUGAGUAUGGGAGAGGAUGGGGGAAUUCCCGGUGUAGCGGUGAAAUGCAUUGAUAUCGGGAGGAACACCAGUGGCGAAGGCGCCCAUCUGGCCUAAUACUGACGCUCAUGCACGAAAGCGUGGG
Molecule: ribosomal RNA, 723 nt
Filed under: uncultured bacterium
Lineage: Bacteria
Description: bacterial SSU rRNA
Rfam family: Bacterial small subunit ribosomal RNA
Source: RNAcentral